UUAAGCGACUAAGCGUACACGGUGGAUGCCCUGGCAGUCAGAGGCGAUGAAGGACGUGCUAAUCUGCGAUAAGCGUCGGUAAGGUGAUAUGAACCGUUAUAACCGGCGAUUUCCGAAUGGGGAAACCCAGUGUGAUUCGUCACACUAUCAUUAACUGAAUCCAUAGGUUAAUGAGGCGAACCGGGGGAACUGAAACAUCUAAGUACCCCGAGGAAAAGAAAUCAACCGAGAUUCCCCCAGUAGCGGCGAGCGAACGGGGAGAAGCCCAGAGCCUGAAUCAGUGUGUGUGUUAGUGGAAGCGUCUGGAAAGGCGCGCGAUACAGGGUGACAGCCCCGUACACAAAAAUGCACAUAUUGUGAGCUCGAUGAGUAGGGCGGGACACGUGGUAUCCUGUCUGAAUAUGGGGGGACCAUCCUCCAAGGCUAAAUACUCCUGACUGACCGAUAGUGAACCAGUACCGUGAGGGAAAGGCGAAAAGAACCCCGGCGAGGGGAGUGAAAAAGAACCUGAAACCGUGUACGUACAAGCAGUGGGAGCCUCUUUAUGGGGUGACUGCGUACCUUUUGUAUAAUGGGUCAGCGACUUAUAUUCUGUAGCAAGGUUAACCGAAUAGGGGAGCCGAAGGGAAACCGAGUCUUAACUGGGCGUUAAGUUGCAGGGUAUAGACCCGAAACCCGGUGAUCUAGCCAUGGGCAGGUUGAAGGUUGGGUAACACUAACUGGAGGACCGAACCGACUAAUGUUGAAAAAUUAGCGGAUGACUUGUGGCUGGGGGUGAAAGGCCAAUCAAACCGGGAGAUAGCUGGUUCUCCCCGAAAGCUAUUUAGGUAGCGCCUCGUGAAUUCAUCUCCGGGGGUAGAGCACUGUUUCGGCAAGGGGGUCAUCCCGACUUACCAACCCGAUGCAAACUGCGAAUACCGGAGAAUGUUAUCACGGGAGACACACGGCGGGUGCUAACGUCCGUCGUGAAGAGGGAAACAACCCAGACCGCCAGCUAAGGUCCCAAAGUCAUGGUUAAGUGGGAAACGAUGUGGGAAGGCCCAGACAGCCAGGAUGUUGGCUUAGAAGCAGCCAUCAUUUAAAGAAAGCGUAAUAGCUCACUGGUCGAGUCGGCCUGCGCGGAAGAUGUAACGGGGCUAAACCAUGCACCGAAGCUGCGGCAGCGACGCUUAUGCGUUGUUGGGUAGGGGAGCGUUCUGUAAGCCUGUGAAGGUGUGCUGUGAGGCAUGCUGGAGGUAUCAGAAGUGCGAAUGCUGACAUAAGUAACGAUAAAGCGGGUGAAAAGCCCGCUCGCCGGAAGACCAAGGGUUCCUGUCCAACGUUAAUCGGGGCAGGGUGAGUCGACCCCUAAGGCGAGGCCGAAAGGCGUAGUCGAUGGGAAACAGGUUAAUAUUCCUGUACUUGGUGUUACUGCGAAGGGGGGACGGAGAAGGCUAUGUUGGCCGGGCGACGGUUGUCCCGGUUUAAGCGUGUAGGCUGGUUUUCCAGGCAAAUCCGGAAAAUCAAGGCUGAGGCGUGAUGACGAGGCACUACGGUGCUGAAGUGACAAAUGCCCUGCUUCCAGGAAAAGCCUCUAAGCAUCAGGUAACAACAAAUCGUACCCCAAACCGACACAGGUGGUCAGGUAGAGAAUACCAAGGCGCUUGAGAGAACUCGGGUGAAGGAACUAGGCAAAAUGGUGCCGUAACUUCGGGAGAAGGCACGCUGAUAUGUAGGUGAAGCGACUUGCUCGUGGAGCUGAAAUCAGUCGAAGAUACCAGCUGGCUGCAACUGUUUAUUAAAAACACAGCACUGUGCAAACACGAAAGUGGACGUAUACGGUGUGACGCCUGCCCGGUGCCGGAAGGUUAAUUGAUGGGGUUAGCGGUAACGCGAAGCUCUUGAUCGAAGCCCCGGUAAACGGCGGCCGUAACUAUAACGGUCCUAAGGUAGCGAAAUUCCUUGUCGGGUAAGUUCCGACCUGCACGAAUGGCGUAAUGAUGGCCAGGCUGUCUCCACCCGAGACUCAGUGAAAUUGAACUCGCUGUGAAGAUGCAGUGUACCCGCGGCAAGACGGAAAGACCCCGUGAACCUUUACUAUAGCUUGACACUGAACAUUGAGCCUUGAUGUGUAGGAUAGGUGGGAGGCUUUGAAGUGUGGACGCCAGUCUGCAUGGAGCCGACCUUGAAAUACCACCCUUUAAUGUUUGAUGUUCUAACGUGGACCCGUGAUCCGGGUUGCGGACAGUGUCUGGUGGGUAGUUUGACUGGGGCGGUCUCCUCCUAAAGAGUAACGGAGGAGCACGAAGGUUGGCUAAUCCUGGUCGGACAUCAGGAGGUUAGUGCAAUGGCAUAAGCCAGCUUGACUGCGAGCGUGACGGCGCGAGCAGGUGCGAAAGCAGGUCAUAGUGAUCCGGUGGUUCUGAAUGGAAGGGCCAUCGCUCAACGGAUAAAAGGUACUCCGGGGAUAACAGGCUGAUACCGCCCAAGAGUUCAUAUCGACGGCGGUGUUUGGCACCUCGAUGUCGGCUCAUCACAUCCUGGGGCUGAAGUAGGUCCCAAGGGUAUGGCUGUUCGCCAUUUAAAGUGGUACGCGAGCUGGGUUUAGAACGUCGUGAGACAGUUCGGUCCCUAUCUGCCGUGGGCGCUGGAGAAUUGAGGGGGGCUGCUCCUAGUACGAGAGGACCGGAGUGGACGCAUCACUGGUGUUCGGGUUGUCAUGCCAAUGGCACUGCCCGGUAGCUAAAUGCGGAAGAGAUAAGUGCUGAAAGCAUCUAAGCACGAAACUUGCCCCGAGAUGAGUUCUCCCUGACCCUUUAAGGGUCCUGAAGGAACGUUGAAGACGACGACGUUGAUAGGCCGGGUGUGUAAGCGCAGCGAUGCGUUGAGCUAACCGGUACUAAUGAACCGUGAGGCUUAACCUU
This 2903-nucleotide ribosomal RNA is filed under the name Escherichia fergusonii. RNAcentral describes it as "bacterial LSU rRNA". It matches the Rfam family "Bacterial large subunit ribosomal RNA". The record is from RNAcentral. Lineage: Bacteria; Pseudomonadati; Pseudomonadota; Gammaproteobacteria; Enterobacterales; Enterobacteriaceae.